Olea europaea var. sylvestris is the source of this 1532-nucleotide long non-coding RNA. RefSeq lists it as uncharacterized. Lineage: Eukaryota; Viridiplantae; Streptophyta; Magnoliopsida; Lamiales; Oleaceae. The record is from RefSeq and is a predicted model, not a curated record. The transcript has 2 exons.
UUUGCCUGGCAUCGGAUGUUCAGCCAUGAAGUACCUAAUCACCCAUUGGAGCUCCACCAGCGUGGAUUGAGUUUCUUUGUACUAGAUUUCCCAAUCAAUAUAAGGUAUGAACAAGAUUUUACAACAGCCGGCUUUAUUGCAAAAACACACAGAUUUUUGGAUCACAAAUUACACACUUUACAAAAACUGACAUUGAUGACAAAAUUUUUUGUCCAAGCUAUAUUAAACAAUUCCCUCUCUACCAAUUUACUCAUCAAUAUCAAUUUCACUCAUCAGUAUUUAAGUUACUAGUCCCAUGACGUUUCACGAAUAAUGCUACUUGGCUUAUUAAGCAUUCUUUAAGUACCAUAUAUAAAUAAGUGUCAGUCCAGUCGUUACAUUAACAUUUUUAGUCCGUAUAGCUGAAUCAUUUGAUAGCUGCUCCUGGACUGUCAUGAGCUUCAAAGAGUUCAUUCCAAUUAUGUACAUGCCAAACCUAAGACGAUCACAGUUUUCCCAUUAAUGAAAGGACACUAAGGAGAAAUAAGUUUGCAGAUUUGGGCUUACGAGGCUAUCGUGUCAUUAACCAAACAAGGGUCGCAAUGAUGCUGAAUAUGCAGGCAACAUAUGCCUCUAGGGCAAAAGAUAUUACCACUAUCCUCGCCAAUCCUCGAGUGAAUUCUCAUGGAUUAAAAGGAAGUGAAGGAAAGAAGAGAAAAGUGGGCAAAAAUGGCAAUAUUUAAAGUACGUGGAUGAAAGUGGCCAUUGAAAGAAAAUUGGAGAGCAAUUGGAAUCCUUUAGAAAGUCAAACAUUGUGGGCUAGGUUACCACUAAUAUAAAUACACAUGCUGGCAAAAAUAAAAGGAGAAGAGGGGAGGAUAGAUACAAAUUAAUUGGAGACGGCAGCUUGGCAAAAAAGGGGGCUGAAUUUGUAAUCCAAAAAUCACAAAAGAAGGGCUGCGGCUGGAGUAUAUAUAUAUAUAUUGAUAGGCAAUUUGGACGGUGGAAAAAGUGGAGAAAAAGGGCUGACUGCUGGAGACGGCUGCUGGUGAGUUAAAAAUAUUGGGCUGAAUUUAUCAAUUCAUACACUAAGUUGGUGGCUGCAACUUUGGAGAUACAAAUCACGCAAUUUGGGAGCAGCCUGGGGAAUAAAGAUACGUAUACAUCGGUGGCUGGAGGCUGCUGUUAUUAAUAUAUGUAUAUACACACACGCAACAAAAGGCAGCAGAUUGGAGAAAACAUAGAGGAGACAAUGGCCGAAUUACGCUCGGAGAAUUGAGGAAUUAAACAUAUACAAAACUGCUAGGGGGCUGAAAUUGGAACCUUUUGGAACUAAAAAGUGGACGGCAAAAGACAACUCAUGGCCAAUCAAUGGGAAAAAGACGACAACUUUAAUUUGGAUAUUAAUCACAUUUCGUCAAAUUUCGGUGAUGUCGUUCCACUUUUAUUUGUUUAAUUCUAGCAUCAUGUUUAGCUAAUUCCUUUUUAUGUAUUGGAGGAGACGAACCCUAUUGUUUAUUUAUUUCUAAUUCAAGAAAAGUAAUUUAAUUUAA